UACGAAGGGGACUAGCGUUGUUCGGAAUUACUGGGCGUAAAGCGCACGUAGGCGGAUUUGUAAGUCAGGGGUGAAAUCCCGGGGCUCAACCUCGGAACUGCCUUUGAUACUGCAAAUCUCGAGUCCGAUAGAGGUGGGUGGAAUUCCUAGUGUAGAGGUGAAAUUCGUAGAUAUUAGGAAGAACACCAGUGGCGAAGGCGGCUCACUGGCCCGGUACUGACGCUCAUGUGCGAAAGCGUGGGGAGCAAACAGG
This 253-nucleotide ribosomal RNA is filed under the name uncultured bacterium. Its description in RNAcentral is "partial 16S ribosomal RNA". It matches the Rfam family "Bacterial small subunit ribosomal RNA", at positions 524 to 776 of the family's 1533-position model. The record is from RNAcentral.